CGAUUGUCACCUUUUUGAGUAGA
Molecule: microRNA, 23 nt
Filed under: Ateles geoffroyi (black-handed spider monkey)
Lineage: Eukaryota; Metazoa; Chordata; Mammalia; Primates; Atelidae
Description: age-miR-508
Gene: age-miR-508
Source: miRBase by way of RNAcentral